Bombus huntii is the source of this 1524-nucleotide long non-coding RNA. RefSeq lists it as uncharacterized. The record is from RefSeq and is a predicted model, not a curated record. NCBI's taxonomy places the organism in Eukaryota, Metazoa, Arthropoda, Insecta, Hymenoptera, Apidae. The transcript is spliced from 2 exons.
UUUUUCUACCACUUUUCUUUUGACUCAAUCUCGUUUCGCACCCGGCUUAGUAGUCCAGUUUUAUCGUUCUGGGUCAUUUUUCGCCAUCUGUGUCCCUCCAAAAAUUCAUUCGCAUUUACAUUUCAACCUUUCUUCGGGUGACCGGAUUUUUUUAACAUCCAAACGAAUCUUCCGAGCUUCCCAUUAUACAAAUUAUUUAAACUUCCCAUUACAUCAUAAUAAAAAUAUAUAAGUAGUCUCUGGUGUUUCAAACUAUUGAGACCCCCAUCUUUUCUUAUUUCCCCAAAGAUACAGUUUCUUUUCCCACCAUUUUUCUUUUGACUCAAUCUCUUUUCGCACCCGGCUUAAUCGUCCAGUUUUAACGUUCUGGAUCAUUUGUCGCCUUCUGUGUCCCUUUUUGUGGAACGAUCUAGAAUUAUUUCUAUAACUUUUUAUAUAAGCGUGCUGGAUUUGUACUGUCUGUGGUUGCUGCUUCGAACUAGAACACUUCAGCGUAUUCAAGUGUAUAUGUAUUCCUGUCAACUAUUGAAUCUUACGGCUUUUUCUAAUGUAGAAAUCUCGCGGAAGGUUCUAUUUACAGGUGUCACGUGCCGAAUUGGUCGGUUGCAAAUUAAUGCGCUAGCGAUCGUGUCGCAAUUUAAUGUGUUUAUUUGUCGUUCUUUUCCUUUUCCCAGCUGGCAAUGUCAUAGAAAUGUUUAUGUCAGGAGGAAAGUUAGGAUUAAAAAGAGAGGCUUCGUCGCGAAAUCCUUACCCGAGCUGAAUCGACUCGUCGGUAGAGCUGUCAGCCAACGGCUGUGGUCUUUUGGGCUAAGAAUUACGCACACGGAGCUCGUAUGGCCAUCGUGGCCGAAGUAAAAAUUGUGUUAACGAAUGAAACGCAGUACGAUGCAAUAUCACUAAAAUAUCGUAAAUCAUUGCUGUUAUAUAUUACAUAGGUAUCCAAUAAUUCUACGGCGCAUAAAAUUGAGAAACAUUAUGAAUGUCAGAACCUUGAUUACAAUAUCGGAAAUCAAAUUCCAUAAUUUAUUUGUUCAUUUUCAUAUGUUUAUAUUUCGCAUGAAGAUAAAUUAAUAUUCUGUAACAAAAAUGAGUAAAGAUAUGUUUUUAAAUAUAUACAUGAUUUUUUAUAGAAUGUUUAACAGAAUGUGUUGCUGGUUCAAAGGCAAAUAAUUUCUAUAUGGAAAUCAGUGUUCUAAAUGUAAUACUUGUUUCUAAGAUAUUUUAGAAAUAUUCCUGACUAUUUAAUAUAGUUUCUCUAUAAGCGUCACAAGUUCAUAAUAUUUUCUUACUAGUUUUGGUUUAUUAUUACAUAUUUAUUAUAUAUUUAUGUCUAUGCAUGAGCGUAAUAAUUAAUUAGAAAGAUAACUUUGAUAAAGAUAUUUAUCUUAAGAAAUUUCGAGUUUUGAAUUUAAUAAUUGAAAAGAAACAGUUAUUUCUAUCCGCUGCAAUAUUUUAAAAAGUUACAAUACUAUUUAUUCGAAAUGAUUUAUAUGUUACAUUAAUAAAUUAUAAAUGAGAGAAUAU